UACGAAGGGGGCUAGCGUUGCUCGGAAUCACUGGGCGUAAAGCGCACGUAGGCGGCUUUCUAAGUCAGGGGUGAAAUCCUGGAGCUCAACUUCAGAACUGCCUUUGAUACUGGAGAGCUUGAGUCCGGAAGAGGUGAGUGGAACUCCGAGUGUAGAGGUGAAAUUCGUAGAUAUUCGGAAGAACACCAGUGGCGAAGGCGGCUCACUGGUCCGGUACUGACGCUGAUGUGCGAAAGCGUGGGGAGCAAACAGG
RNAcentral lists this ribosomal RNA (253 nucleotides) under uncultured bacterium. RNAcentral's name for it is "partial 16S ribosomal RNA". It matches the Rfam family "Bacterial small subunit ribosomal RNA", at positions 524 to 776 of the family's 1533-position model. The record is from RNAcentral.